This 253-nucleotide ribosomal RNA is filed under the name uncultured bacterium. Its description in RNAcentral is "partial 16S ribosomal RNA". It matches the Rfam family "Bacterial small subunit ribosomal RNA", at positions 524 to 776 of the family's 1533-position model. The record is from RNAcentral.
UACGAAGGGUGCAAGCGUUACUCGGAAUUACUGGGCGUAAAGCGUGCGUAGGUGGUUCGUUAAGUCUGAUGUGAGAGCCCUGGGCUCAACCUGGGAAUGGCAUUGGAAACUGGCGACCUAGAGUGCGGUAGAGGGUAGUGGAAUUCCCGGUGUAGCAGUGAAAUGCGUAGAGAUCGGGAGGAACAUCUGUGGCGAAGGCGACUGCCUGGACCAGCACUGACACUGAGGCACGAAAGCGUGGGGAGCAAACAGG